UACGUAGGGCGCAAGCGUUAUCCGGAAUUAUUGGGCGUAAAGAGCUUGUAGGCGGUUUGUCGCGUCUGCUGUGAAAUUUCGGGGCUCAACCCCGAACUUGCGGUGGGUACGGGCAGACUAGAGUGUGGUAGGGGAGACUGGAAUUCCUGGUGUAGCGGUGAAAUGCGCAGAUAUCAGGAGGAACACCGAUGGCGAAGGCAGGUCUCUGGGCCACUACUGACGCUGAGAAGCGAAAGCAUGGGGAGCGAACAGG
Molecule: ribosomal RNA, 253 nt
Filed under: uncultured bacterium
Lineage: Bacteria
Description: partial 16S ribosomal RNA
Rfam family: Bacterial small subunit ribosomal RNA
Source: RNAcentral